CGCGUAGGCGGUUUGCUAAGUCAGAUGUGAAAGCCCUCGGCUUAACCGGGGACGUGCAUUUGAAACUGGCAGACUUGAGUACUGGAGGGGGUGGUGGAAUUCCCGGUGUAGAGGUGAAAUUCGUAGAUAUCGGGAGGAAUACCGGUGGCGAAGGCGACCACCUGGCCAGAUACUGACGCUGAGGUGCGAAAGCGUGGGGAGCAAACAG
This 208-nucleotide ribosomal RNA is filed under the name uncultured delta proteobacterium. RNAcentral describes it as "partial 16S ribosomal RNA". It matches the Rfam family "Bacterial small subunit ribosomal RNA", at positions 568 to 775 of the family's 1533-position model. Lineage: Bacteria; Deltaproteobacteria. The record is from RNAcentral.